Molecule: unclassified non-coding RNA, 329 nt
Filed under: soil metagenome
Description: partial contains 5.8S ribosomal RNA, internal transcribed spacer 2, and large subunit ribosomal RNA
Rfam family: 5.8S ribosomal RNA (bases 1-120)
Source: RNAcentral
GAUGAAGAACGUAGCGAAAUGCGAUAAGUAAUGUGAAUUGCAGAAUUCAGUGAAUCAUCGAAUCUUUGAACGCACCUUGCGCCCCUUGGUAUUCCGAGGGGCAUGCCUGUUCGAGCGUCAUUAUAACCCCUCAAGCUCAGCUUGGUGUUGGGGCCUGCUGCACUGGCAGCCCUUAAAAUCAGUGGCGGCGCCAUCUGGCUCUAAGCGUAGUAAUUCUUCUCGCUAUGGAGUCCUGGUGGAUGCUUGCCAUCAACCCCCAAUUUUUCUAUGGUUGACCUCGGAUCAGGUAGGGAUACCCGCUGAACUUAAGCAUAUCAAUAAGCGGAGGA